Molecule: ribosomal RNA, 2239 nt
Filed under: human metagenome
Description: bacterial LSU rRNA
Rfam family: Bacterial large subunit ribosomal RNA
Source: RNAcentral
AGUGACCGAUAGCGCAUAGUACUGUGAAGGAAAGGUGAAAAGGACCCCGGGAGGGGAGUGAAAGAGAACCUGAAACCUUGUGCCUACAAGCACAUAGAGCCCGUCAAAGGGUGAUAUGGUACUUUUUGUAGAACGGUCCGGCGAGCGAUUGUACGUUGCGAGCUUAAGGUCUUAAGGACUGGAGGCGUAGCGAGAGCGAGUCUAAACAGGGCGUUUAGUAGCGUGCAAUGGGCCCGAAACCGGGUGACCUACCCAUGAUCAGGCUGAAGUGAAAGUAAAAUUUCAUGGAGGGCCGAACCGACCUCCGUUGAAAAGGCGGCGGAUGAAUUGUGGGUAGCGGAGAAAUUCCAAUCGAACUCGGAGAUAGCUGGUUCUCCCCGAAAUAGCUUUAGGGCUAGCCUCAUGUUAGAUAUCCGGAGGUAAAGCACUGAAUGGCCUAGCGUCCGAGAGGAUAGCGAAGCCUAUCAAACUAAGAAUGCCGGAAUAUUGAUGCAUGGGAGUCAGACAGUGUGAGAUAAAUCUCAUUGUCAAAAGGGAAACAGCCCAGAUCUACAGCUAAGGUCCCAAAUUGUAUCUAAGUGGAAAACGAUGUGGAAAUACGCAGACAACCAGGAUGUUGGCUCAGAAGCAGCCACUCAUUUAAAGAGUGCGUAAUAGCUCACUGGUCGAGCGUCUCUGCGCGGAAAAUUUAACGGGGCUAAGAUACAAACCGAAGCUUAGGCUGCACUUUUAGUGCGGGGUAGGGGAGCGUUGUGUAAGCGGAGAAACAGUAGCGAAAGCGGCUGUGGAGUUUACAGAAGUGAGAAUGCCGGAAUGAGUAGCGCGAAUGAUGUGAGAAUCAUCAUGGCCGGAAACCUCAGGUUUUUGGAGGAAGGUUCGUCCGCUCCAAGUUAGGCGGGAGCUAAGGUGAGGCCGAAAGGCGUAGCCGAUGCACAGACGGUAGAGAUUCCGUCACCACCAAAAGAGUUAAGCACAGGGACACAUUUGAAGUCUCAGAGCCGGGUGUUGGUUCCGGUAGAGAUCGAGGGAAAUUAGUACCGAAGUCUGGGAUGGAAGAUGGCGAGAAAAGCUGUGUGUAUUUCUGAGGUGCCCGUACCGCAAACCGACACAGGUAGGUAGGAAGAAGAUUCUAAGGCCAACGGGAGAAGGGUUGUUAAGGAACUCGGCAAGUUGACCCCGUAACUUCGGAAUAAGGGGUGCUCAUGAAAGUGAGCCGCAGAGAAUAGGCCCAGGCAACUGUUUACCAAAAACACAGGUUUGUGCUAAAUCGAAAGAUGACGUAUACGAGCUGACGCCUGCCCGGUGCUGGAAGGUUAAAAGGAGAUGUGCAAGCAUUGAAUUGAAGCCCCAGUGAACGGCGGCCGUAACUAUAACGGUCCUAAGGUAGCGAAAUUCCUUGUCAGGUAAGUUCUGACCCGCACGAAUGGCGUAAUGAUUUGGGCACUGUCUCAACAGCCCGCCCGGCGAAAUUGUAGUACCGGUGAAGAUGCCGGUUACCCGCGACAAGACGGAAAGACCCCAUGGAGCUUUACUGUAGCCUAAUAUUGGGUUUCGAUGUUGCAUGCACAGGAUAGAUGGGACACAGGGAAACAAGUGCUUUGGCAUUUGUGGAGUGGCCGUUGGGAUACCAUCCUUGCGAUAUUGGAAUUCUAACCUGCGCCUUUGAAUCAAGGCGGGGGACAUUGUUAGGUGGGCAGUUUGACUGGGGCGGUCGCCUCCUAAAGAGUAACGGAGGCGUUCAAAGGUUCGCUCAGCUUGAACGGAAAUCAAGCAAAAGAGUGCAAACGCAGAAGCGAGCCUAACUGCGAGACUGACGGGUCGAGCAGUAACGAAAGUUGGAGUUAGUGAUCCGGUGGUAUGUGAGUGGAAAUGCCAUCGCUCAACGGAUAAAAGCUACCCUGGGGAUAACAGGCUGAUCUCCCCCAAGAGUCCACAUCGACGGGGAGGUUUGGCACCUCGAUGUCGGCUCAUCGCAUCCUGGGGCUGUAUUCGGUCCCAAGGGUUUGGCUGUUCGCCAAUUAAAGCGGUACGCGAGCUGGGUUCAGAACGUCGUGAGACAGUUCGGUCCCUAUCUGUCGUGGGCGCAGGAUAUUUGAUGGGAGCUGUUCCUAGUACGAGAGGACCGGAGCGGACGUACCUCUGGCGCACCAGUUGUUCUGCCAAGGGCAUAGCUGGGCAACUAUGUACGGAUCGGAUAAACGCUGAAAGCAUCUAAGCGUGAAGCCGACCCAAAGAUAAG